AGUUUGAUCCUGGCUCAGGAUGAACGCUAGCGGCAGGCCUAACACAUGCAAGUCGAGGGGUAGAGGGAGCUUGCUUCCUUGAGACCGGCGCACGGGUGCGUAACGCGUAUGCAAUCUGCCCCCUACAGGGGAAUAGCCCAGGGAAACUUGGAUUAAUGCCCCAUAGCCCAUAUUGAGAGCAUUCGAUAUAUGGUAAAGAUUUAUCGGUAGGGGAUGAGCAUGCGUACCAUUAGCUAGUUGGUGUGGUAACGGCACACCAAGGCAACGAUGGUUAGGGGCCCUGAGAGGGGGAUCCCCCACACUGGUACUGAGACACGGACCAGACUCCUACGGGAGGCAGCAGUGAGGAAUAUUGGACAAUGGGCGGGAGCCUGAUCCAGCCAUGCCGCGUGCAGGAAGACUGCCCUAUGGGUUGUAAACUGCUUUUUUACGGGAAGAAACACCCCCACGUGUGGGGGCUUGACGGUACCGUACGAAUAAGGAUCGGCUAACUCCGUGCCAGCAGCCGCGGUAAUACGGAGGAUCCAAGCGUUAUCCGGAAUCAUUGGGUUUAAAGGGUCCGUAGGCGGACGUCUAAGUCAGUGGUGAAAUUCUGCAGCUCAACUGUAGAACUGCCAUUGAUACUGGUCGUCUUGAAUCGUUGUGAAGUGGCUAGAAUAUGUAGUGUAGCGGUGAAAUGCUUAGAUAUUACAUAGAAUACCGAUUGCGAAGGCAGGUCACUAACAACGCAUUGACGCUGAU
This 741-nucleotide ribosomal RNA is filed under the name Flavobacterium sp. GWS-SE-H171. Its description in RNAcentral is "bacterial SSU rRNA". It matches the Rfam family "Bacterial small subunit ribosomal RNA", at positions 10 to 750 of the family's 1533-position model. Lineage: Bacteria; Pseudomonadati; Bacteroidota; Flavobacteriia; Flavobacteriales; Flavobacteriaceae. The record is from RNAcentral.